RNAcentral lists this long non-coding RNA (407 nucleotides) under Equus caballus (horse). RNAcentral describes it as "lncRNA (ENSECAG00000053493.1)". The record is from RNAcentral. Lineage: Eukaryota; Metazoa; Chordata; Mammalia; Perissodactyla; Equidae.
GGGUGUCUGCCAAGUGGUUCUGGCAUAGCCGGCAGGUGAUUUUGGCAUGUCCGGCAGGUGGUUCCGGUGAGUCGAGCAGGUGGUUCCUGCGUGCUCGGCAGGUGUCUCAGGCAUGUCCCACAGGUGGUUCUGGUCUGUCCAGGAGGAGGUUCCAGCAUGUCCGUCACGUGGUUGUGGCACAUCUGAGAGGUGGUUUCGGCAUAGCCGGCAGGUGAUUCUGGAGUGUCUGCUAAGUGGUUCUGUCGUAGCCGGCAGGUCAUUUUGGCAUGUCCGGCAUGUGGUUUCAGCACGUCGAACAGGUGGUUCCGGCGUGCUCGGCAGGUGGUUCAGGUGUGUCCAGCAGGUGGUUCCGGUCUGUCUGGGAGGUGGUUCCGGCAUGUAUGGCCCAUGGUUCUGGUACGUUUGAG